CAGCAGCCGCGGUAAUACAGAGGGUGCGAGCGUUAAUCGGAUUUACUGGGCGUAAAGCGUGCGUAGGCGGCUUUUUAAGUCGGAUGUGAAAUCCCUGAGCUUAACUUAGGAAUUGCAUUCGAUACUGGGAAGCUAGAGUAUGGGAGAGGAUGGUAGAAUUCCAGGUGUAGCGGUGAAAUGCGUAGAGAUCUGGAGGAAUACCGAUGGCGAAGGCAGCCAUCUGGCCUAAUACUGACGCUGAGGUACGAAAGCAUGGGGAGCAAACAGGAUUAGAUACCCCAGUAGUCCCUGUCUCUUAUAU
This 301-nucleotide ribosomal RNA is filed under the name uncultured bacterium. RNAcentral's name for it is "partial 16S ribosomal RNA". It matches the Rfam family "Bacterial small subunit ribosomal RNA", at positions 509 to 809 of the family's 1533-position model. The record is from RNAcentral.